UCCGGGGCGGGUCCCAAACAAGCCCCGCCCUCACUUCCGCCUCCAGGCAAAGCCGAACUAGCAGUCCCGGCGCUUGGACUUGCUGGGCUUGUUAACCGCGGGCUGUGGUAGGCGUCAGGCCGGGCGUCGGGCGCUUGUGCGCCAGCCCGAAAUUCCUGGGUCCGGUUGCGGUCCGGGUGCUUGACCUGGCAUGUUGAAUUGCGCUGGAGAAAAGCUUCCAGUGCUCACUGCUGUCGAUAUUUUAGGAACCUCAGCAACGAGAUGAAGUCAGGCCCGGCGCGGUGGCGCACGUCUGUAAUCCCAGCAAUUUGGGAGGCUGAGGCAGGAGGAUCGCGAGUUCAGAACCAGCCUCAGCAACCACGAGGCGCUAAGCAACUCAGUGAGCCUCUGUCUCUAAAUAAAAUACAAAAUAGGGCUGGGGAGGUGGCUCAGUGGUUGAGUGCCCUGAGUUCAGUCCCCAGUAUCCCGGUAUUCCCCCCCCACCACCACCACCAAAGAAAAGAAAUUAAGACAGAACAUAGUUCAUUCUUUGGGAAGUUACCAGAAGAUUAUCAGCCUUCAACCGGAUAAACGCCUUUAGCUGAACGCCCUGGUGCAUGUCUGUAAUCCCAGCGACUCCAAGGCUUUGGCAGGAGGAUCCAAAGUUCCAGAUCAGCCUGGGCGACGUAGCAAGAACCUGUCUCAAAAUUUUAGAAAGACUGGGGAUGUAGUUCAGGGGAAGUGCUACCCUAGCAUGCUUGAAGCCUAGGUUCAAUCUCCAGCACGGAAAAUAUAUUAAUAAAAGCAAUAUAGAAAUAAAAAGGCUUACUCCAGAUUUACUACUUAGUAAAUAUUGUUUGCAUAAUGGGACUCCAUUGAAGCAAGGUUAAAGACAGGCAGUCAAUAUAGAUAGGUAAUCAGACAGAGAAUGGUUUGGGUCUGGGAAGUUGAAGGCUGCCUCUGGGGCAUUGAAAUGUUAAUGCCUGCAGAGUCCUUCCUCUACCUUUACCAAGAUAACUUUCUCCUGCUCCAACCUGUAGCUAAGGUAACCUGUUGCAGGAAUUGUUCCUUCCUGAAGGGAAUUGUAAAAGUUGUUAAAGAAUGCCUUCUGGGCUGCUCCUUCCUGCCUGGAUCACUCCACCUUUGGCCAUUCUCCCUUGUACAUUUACUUCUCAGCUUUUGGCCAUCCCAAGGCAUCUCCUGGACCAAGUCAAGUGCGUCUGGGAAAACAGAACUCAGCAUUGGUAAUCAGCAAAGGUAACUCAGCAAAGGUAUCACUACCUUUACUACUCUUCUGCAGUUUGCAUCUUAUCAUGUAUUUUAACUUGAGACUCGUAAAUGUUAAGUAUUUUUAAAUUAAUGAAUGUCAGGGACUAGAAGGAAAUUCUCCUUCAAAGAUUAGCCUGACAGCCCCCUGGGAGACAUCCUGCCUGGGAGGCAUCCUGCAGCUACCUAUCUCCCUGGAACAUCCUGCGGUUAUCAGGAUCUUCAGACAUCUUGCAACUGGCAGUUUUACCACCCACAUCCAGCAAUUGUUGAUUAGAGAGCUUCCCCAUCCCCAGCAUAUAAAUACC
This 1553-nucleotide long non-coding RNA is filed under the name Marmota monax (woodchuck). The record is from RNAcentral. Lineage: Eukaryota; Metazoa; Chordata; Mammalia; Rodentia; Sciuridae.